UCGGUAUUAUGAUGAUACCCAUUCCAAUGCAUAGUUCAUCUGAAUUCUCUGAUGAAAAACUUACCUUCAAUAUUCUUUCGCUCCCAUCUGAUAUACCAU
Molecule: small nucleolar RNA, 99 nt
Filed under: Trichoderma atroviride IMI 206040
Lineage: Eukaryota; Fungi; Ascomycota; Sordariomycetes; Hypocreales; Hypocreaceae
Description: Small nucleolar RNA snR60/Z15/Z230/Z193/J17
Rfam family: Small nucleolar RNA snR60/Z15/Z230/Z193/J17
About the family: The members of this family belong to the C/D class of snoRNAs which contain the C (UGAUGA) and D (CUGA) box motifs.
Source: Rfam by way of RNAcentral